AUGUGGGAGGAAUGCUUGCCUCAUAUUGAAUUUGCUUAUAAUCGUUCAUUGCAUUCUACUACUAAGAUGUGCCCUUUUGAAGUUGUGUAUGGUUUCCUACCUCGUGCACCUAUUGAUUUGUUGCCUCUUCCAUCUUCGGAGAAGGUUAAUUUUGAUGCUAAACAACGUGCUGAAUUGAUUUUAAAAAUGCAUGAGUUAACUAAGGAAAACAUUGAGCGGAUGAAUGCUAAAUAUAAACUUGCUGGAGAUAAGGGUAGAAAACAUGUUGUGUUUGCACCUGGAGAUCUCGUUUGGUUACAUUUGCGUAAGGAUAGAUUUCCCGAUUUGCGCAAAUCAAAGCUAAUGCCACGUGCUGAUGGUCCCUUUAAGGUGUUAGAGAAAAUAAAUGAUAAUGCAUAUAAACUUGAGCUGCCUGCAGAUUUUGGGGUUAGUCCCACUUUUAACAUUGCAGAUUUGAAGCCUUAUUUGGGUGAGGAAGAUGAACUUCCGUCGAGGACGACUUCAUUUCAAGAAGGGGAGGAUGAUGAGGACAUCAAUACAAUUGUUACACCCACAGCCCCUGCUGCUAUACAUACUGGACCAAUUACUAGAGCUCGUGCACGCCAACUAAAUUACCAGGAAACAGACCCUCGUGGUCAGGUUGAUCGUGCUCCGGCGUGGUCAAUAACCUCUCGGAGUUGGUUUAGCGAUUGCUAA
Molecule: ribosomal RNA, 696 nt
Filed under: Triticum aestivum (bread wheat)
Lineage: Eukaryota; Viridiplantae; Streptophyta; Magnoliopsida; Poales; Poaceae
Description: partial small subunit ribosomal RNA
Source: RNAcentral